RNAcentral lists this ribosomal RNA (632 nucleotides) under uncultured bacterium. RNAcentral's name for it is "bacterial SSU rRNA". It matches the Rfam family "Bacterial small subunit ribosomal RNA", at positions 294 to 916 of the family's 1533-position model. The record is from RNAcentral.
GAGAGGAUGACCAGCCACACUGGAACUGAAACACGGUCCAGACUCCUACGGGAGGCAGCAGUGGGGAAUAUUGCGCAAUGGGGGAAACCCUGACGCAGCGACGCCGCGUGAGCGAAGAAGGCCCUCGGGUCGUAAAGCUCUGUCAGGAGGGAAGAAUGUGUUCGUGGUCAAUACCCACGGGCAUUGACGGUACCUCCGAAGGAAGCACCGGCUAACUCCGUGCCAGCAGCCGCGGUAAUACGGAGGGUGCAAGCGUUGUUCGGAAUUACUGGGCGUAAAGAGCGUGUAGGCGGUCCGUUAAGUCCGGUGUGAAAGCCCUGGGCUCAACCCAGGAAGUGCAUUGGAUACUGGCGGACUUGAGUACGGGAGAGGAGAGUGGAAUUCCUAGUGUAGAGGUGAAAUUCGUAGAUAUUAGGAAGAACACCGGCGGCGAAGGCGGCUCUCUGGCCCGAUACUGACGCUGAGACGCGAAAGCGUGGGGAGCAAACAGGAUUAGAUACAAUGGUAGUCCACGCCUUUUUCGGGGGGCACUAGGUGUGGGAGGUGUUGACCCCUUCCGUGCCGAAGCUAACGCAUUAAGUGCCCCGCCUGGGGAGUACGGUCGCAAGACUAAAACUUAAAUGAAUUGACGG